Molecule: ribosomal RNA, 465 nt
Filed under: uncultured bacterium
Lineage: Bacteria
Description: partial 16S ribosomal RNA
Rfam family: Bacterial small subunit ribosomal RNA
Source: RNAcentral
GAUGAACGCUGGCGGCGUGCUUAACACAUGCAAGUCGAACGGAAAGGCUCCUGCUUGCAGGGGUACUCGAGUGGCGACUGGGUGAGUAACACGUGGGUGAUCUGCCCUGCACUUCGGGAUAAGCCUGGGAAACUGGGCCUAAUACCGGAUAGGACCACAUUUUGGAUGGUGUGGUGGAAAGUUUUUCGGUGUGGGAUGAGCUCGCGGCCUAUCAGCUUGUUGGUGGGGUAAUGGCCUACCAAGGCGUCGACGCGUAGCCGGCCUGAGAGGGUGUACGGCCCCACUGGGAUUGAGAUACGACCCAGACUCGUACGGGACGCAGCAGUGCAGAAUAGAAUACAAGAGAAGCAAGCCUGGUGCGACGACGCAGCGCGGGGGAUGACGGCAAUCGGGUUGUAAUCUAAUUUCGCUAGGGACGAAGCGAAAGUGACAGUACCUGGAGAAGAAGCACCGGCUAACUACGUG